UCCGAUUGCACUGGGUAUGUUACCAUCGAUGGAGCGGGACAGAGGUCUGGUUGACUUACCAUGCACAACAAUCUGUUCAGAAGCCACCUCAUAAUGAAAAAUGACUGGAAAAAGUACAUCUAGAAUUCAUCUUACUAUUGUACUAGCAGCACCAGUAAGUGCUGGCAGAACUGUCAAUGGAAG
Molecule: long non-coding RNA, 183 nt
Organism: Lonchura striata (white-rumped munia)
Lineage: Eukaryota; Metazoa; Chordata; Aves; Passeriformes; Estrildidae
Source: RefSeq, a predicted model, not a curated record